AGAAAAAGAAAAGAAGAAGAAGAAGAAGUGUGUUUGUCUGGAUGGUGGAGGAAUGGGUUGAACUUGGAAGAAAGAGUUUUAAUAAAAUUUUAUUUUUAAACUUUGCCCAAUACCUUGCUACCACGUGUGCACCCCUUAAGGGAUAUUUUUACAAGGCCUUACAAGUUAUAGGUUGCAUUAUAAUUAUAUUGGAGAAAAUUUGUAAUUUGCAUUUUGUUCCAAUUUAAAGUUCACUUGUAAAAUAGUAUCAUUAUUAAGACUAAU
This 264-nucleotide long non-coding RNA is filed under the name Vigna radiata. Its description in RNAcentral is "long non-coding RNA (VRAD_LNC014843)". The record is from RNAcentral. Lineage: Eukaryota; Viridiplantae; Streptophyta; Magnoliopsida; Fabales; Fabaceae.